This 278-nucleotide ribosomal RNA is filed under the name uncultured bacterium. Its description in RNAcentral is "partial 16S ribosomal RNA". It matches the Rfam family "Bacterial small subunit ribosomal RNA", at positions 28 to 334 of the family's 1533-position model. The record is from RNAcentral.
GACGAACGCUAGCGGCAGGCUUAACACAUGCAAGUCGAGCGCCCUGCUUGCAGGGAGCGGCAGACGGGUUAGUAACGCGUGGGAACGUGCCCUUCGGUACGGAAUAGCCCUGGGAAACUGGGUGUAAUACCGUAUACGACCUUUGGGUGAAAGAUUUAUCGCCGAAGGAUCGGCCCGCGUUAGAUUAGCUAGUUGGUGAGGUAAAGGCUUACCAAGGCGACGAUCUAUAGCUGUUCUGAGAGGAAGAUCAGCAACACUGGGACUGAGACACGGCCCAG